GCAUAUCAAUAAGCGGAGGAAAAGAAACUAACAAGGAUUCCCCUAGUAACUGCGAGUGAAGCGGGAAGAGCUCAAAUUUAAAAUCUGGCAGUCUUUGGCUGUCCGAGUUGUAAUUUAGAGAAGUGUUACCCGUGCUGGACCGUAUACAAGUCCUCUGGAAUGGGGCGUCAUAGAGGGUGAGAAUCCCGUCUUUGAUACGGACUACCAGUGCUUUGUGGUGCGCUCUCGAAGAGUCGAGUUGUUUGGGAAUGCAGCUCAAAAUGGGUGGUAAAUUCCAUCUAAAGCUAAAUACAGGCGAGAGACCGAUAGCGAACAAGUACCGUGAGGGAAAGAUGAAAAGAACUUUGGAAAGAGAGUUAAACAGUACGUGAAAUUGCUGAAAGGGAAACGCUUGAAGUCAGUCGCGUUGGCUGAGAAUCAGCCUUGCUCUUUUGCUUGGUGUACUUCUCAGUCGAUGGGUCAGCGUCAGUUUUGACUGCUGGAUAAAGCUCGAGGGAAUGUGGCAUCUUCGGAUGUGUUAUAGCCUUCGUUCGUAUACAGCAGUUGGGACUGAGGAACUCAGCACGCCGCAAGGCCGGGUUUUUAACCACGUACGUGCUUAGGAUGCUGGCAUAAUGGCUUUAAUCGACCCGUCUUGAAACACGGACCAAGGAGUCUAAC
This 660-nucleotide ribosomal RNA is filed under the name Clitocybula intervenosa. RNAcentral describes it as "Clitocybula sp. AC-2018a partial large subunit ribosomal RNA". It matches the Rfam family "Eukaryotic large subunit ribosomal RNA", at positions 38 to 679 of the family's 3401-position model. The record is from RNAcentral. Lineage: Eukaryota; Fungi; Basidiomycota; Agaricomycetes; Agaricales; Porotheleaceae.